This 735-nucleotide ribosomal RNA is filed under the name Micrococcus sp. SAWW3. Its description in RNAcentral is "bacterial SSU rRNA". It matches the Rfam family "Bacterial small subunit ribosomal RNA", at positions 55 to 818 of the family's 1533-position model. Lineage: Bacteria; Bacillati; Actinomycetota; Actinomycetes; Micrococcales; Micrococcaceae. The record is from RNAcentral.
UUGCGCUGAACGAUGCGGCGGCUCGGUUGCAUCGCGUAGAGUAUAUAGUGGCGAACGGUGCAGUAACACGUGAGUAACCUGCCCUUAACUCUGGAUAAGCCUGGAAACUGGGUCUAAUACCGGAUAGGAGCGCCUACCGCAUGGUGGGUGUUGGAAAGAUUUAUCGGUUUUGGAUGGACUCGCGGCCUAUCAGCUUGUUGGUGAGGUAAUGGCUCACCAAGGCGACGACGGGUAGCCGGCCUGAGAGGGUGACCGGCCACACUGGGACUGAGACACGGCCCAGACUCCUACGGGAGGCAGCAGGGGGAAUAUUGCACAAUGGGCGCAAGCCUGAUGCAGCGACGCCGCGUGAGGGAUGACGGCCUUCGGGUUGUAAACCUCUUUCAGUAGGGAAGAAGCGAAAGUGACGGUACCUGCAGAAGAAGCACCGGCUAACUACGUGCCAGCAGCCGCGGUAAUACGUAGGGUGCGAGCGUUAUCCGGAAUUAUUGGGCGUAAAGAGCUCGUAGGCGGUUUGUCGCGUCUGUCGUGAAAGUCCUGGGCUUAACCCCGGAUCUGCGGGGGACGGGCAGACUAGAGUGCAGUAGGGAGACUGGAAUUCCUGGUGUAGCGGUGGAAUGCGCAGAUAUCAGAGAACACCGAUGGCGAAGCAGGUCUCUGGCUGAACUGACGCUGAGAGCGAAGCAUGAGCGAACAGAUUAGAUACUGUAGUCCAUGCGUAAACGUUGCACUACG